RNAcentral lists this ribosomal RNA (478 nucleotides) under uncultured bacterium. RNAcentral's name for it is "bacterial SSU rRNA". It matches the Rfam family "Bacterial small subunit ribosomal RNA", at positions 35 to 518 of the family's 1533-position model. The record is from RNAcentral.
UGAACGGCUGGCGGCGUAGCUUAACACAUGCAAGUCGAACGAAGUUAAGUGAAACCUAGUGAUCUUAACUAGUGGCGGACGGGUGAGUAACGCGUGGGUAACCUGCCGCAUAGCAGGGGGACAACAGUUGGAAACGACUGCUAAUACCGCAUAAGCGCACGGGACCGCAUGGUCCAGUGUGAAAAGAUUUAUCGGCAUGCGAUGGACCCGCGUCCGAUUAGCCAGUUGGCGGGGUAACGGCCCACCAAAGCUACGAUCGGUAGCCGGCCUGAGAGGGUGAACGGCCACAUUGGGACUGAGACACGGCCCAAACUCCUACGGGAGGCAGCAGUGGGGAAUAUUGCACAAUGGGGGAAACCCUGAUGCAAGCGACGCCGCGUGAGUGAUGAAGUAUUUCGGUACGUAAAGCUCUAUCAGCAGGAAAGAAAAUGACGGUACCUGACUAAGAAGCCCCGGCUAACUACGUGCCAGCCGCUGC